GAUUAUAAAGCAUUGCAAUUCAUUGUUACUGAAAAGAAGAUAUAGAUUAUUUUUU
RNAcentral lists this transfer RNA (55 nucleotides) under Neoscona multiplicans. RNAcentral describes it as "tRNA-Asn". Lineage: Eukaryota; Metazoa; Arthropoda; Arachnida; Araneae; Araneidae. The record is from RNAcentral.